This 82-nucleotide transfer RNA is filed under the name Longibaculum muris. RNAcentral's name for it is "tRNA-Leu". It matches the Rfam family "tRNA". Rfam says of the family: Transfer RNA (tRNA) molecules are approximately 80 nucleotides in length. The record is from RNAcentral. Lineage: Bacteria; Bacillati; Bacillota; Erysipelotrichia; Erysipelotrichales; Coprobacillaceae.
GCAGCUGUGGUGGAACUGGUAGACACGCUAUCUUCAGGCGGUAGUGGAUUUAUCCAUGUGAGUUCGAGUCUCAUCAGCUGUA